UACGUAGGGUGCGAGCGUUACUCGGGAUUACUGGGCGUAAAGCGUGCGCAGGCGGUUUUGUAAGUCAGAUGUGAAAUCCCCGGGCUUAACCUGGGAAUGGCAUUUGGGACUGCAAGGCUGGAGUGCGGCAGAGGAGACUGGAAUUCCUGGUGUAGCAGUGAAAUGCGUAGAUAUCAGGAGGAAUACCGAUGGCGAAGGCAGGUCUCUGGGCUGACACUGACGCUCAUGCACGAAAGCGUGGGGAGCAAACAGG
RNAcentral lists this ribosomal RNA (253 nucleotides) under uncultured bacterium. RNAcentral's name for it is "partial 16S ribosomal RNA". It matches the Rfam family "Bacterial small subunit ribosomal RNA", at positions 524 to 776 of the family's 1533-position model. The record is from RNAcentral.